RNAcentral lists this ribosomal RNA (417 nucleotides) under uncultured bacterium. RNAcentral's name for it is "bacterial SSU rRNA". It matches the Rfam family "Bacterial small subunit ribosomal RNA", at positions 29 to 489 of the family's 1533-position model. The record is from RNAcentral.
AACGAACGCUGGCGGCAGGCUUAACACAUGCAAGUCGAACGGGCACCUUCGGGUGUCAGUGGCAGACGGGUGAGUAACGCGUGGGAACGUACCCUUCGGUUCGGAAUAACCCAGGGAAACUUGGGCUAAUACCGGAUACGUCCGUAAGGAGAAAGAUUUAUUGCCGAAGGAUCGGCCCGCGUCGGAUUAGCUAGUUGGUGGGGUAAUGGCCCACCAAGGCGACGAUCCGUAGCUGGUCUGAGAGGAUGANCAGCCACACUGGGACUGAGACACGGCCCAGACUCCUACGGGAGGCAGCAGUGGGGAAUAUUGGACAAUGGGCGAAAGCCUGAUCCAGCCAUGCCGCGUGAGUGAAGAAGGCCUUAGGGUUGUAAAGCUCUUUCAGCGGGGAAGAUAAUGACGGUACCCGCAGAAGAA